Molecule: long non-coding RNA, 7072 nt
Filed under: Homo sapiens (human)
Lineage: Eukaryota; Metazoa; Chordata; Mammalia; Primates; Hominidae
Description: HSALNT0124970
Source: RNAcentral
AAUAAAAUCACCUCUCUAGGGCAGGAACUCUUGCGGGUUUCUGAAUUGGCAGGGUCAUUUCCCCAGAGGUUGAAAAGAACGGACCUGCACUCAUUCCAUUUUAUGCUACUGCUUGCUUGCUUGUGCUCUUGUUUGAUUUGCAUUUCAACUCCAUUUCUGCCAACAAAUGCAGCCCCAGGUUCUCCUUAGAAUAACUUCUUCCCGGCCAGGCACGGAGUCAAAUUACAAACUGAAUUGGGGAAGGAGGCCAAACGAAGAUCCACCUUGUCUUGCUCCUUAUGUAGGAGUUUACUAGGGCUGCACCUGGGAUUGGCUUUCUCUGCCAGGCCUUUUCUAUUAUCUAAUUCAGCUGUAAGGAAAUUUAGAGGAAGAGUCAUUAAAGAAGUAUUUUUAAAAUGGAAAAAUAGUGGAUAUAGAUAUUUCAUUCUGAAGGCCAUUCAUGUUAAAAAAUGAUACUCUCUUGGACAAAGGAGACAAUGAUGGAGUGAAAUGCUCUUAUGUGAAAGCCUCUGUCACUCACCAGAAGAAGUUCACCAUCAGUUGAGAGCCCAUGUUAUGUCUCUGGGGAGGAAAGGUAGGUAAAGGAUACAGGAUUGGAAGGUAAGGAACUAAGGUCCUAGCUUUUACUCCCCUAAUGACUUUGUGAUGCUGCACACAUUUCCGAUCUUUUUCUCUCUCUGUGGUUUUUUAAAUUUUCUUGAUAACAUUAGAAUGUUUAGGCUCUUGCCAUAAGUAAAAAUGUUUUCUAUGGAUGUGUGUAUUUGCAUAUUUAUCACAGUCAAAAUAAUCAGUCUCCAAAAAUGCAAAAGAUUGGGUAGGAUUAUGUAACACAUUCUUAAAAUAUUAAAACCUGCACACAUUAAAGCAUCAAGUUAAAUAGUUGUUAACCUGUCUCACUAAUAAUCGCCUGCUUAGAUCCAGUCUGUGAGAGGAAAAGGAAGCAAUAAAUUUGACCUUCACUUACCGCAUGUUUUAAUUGCACAGUACUCCCAGCGGGUGUGAGGGUCAAGAGUAUAGCACCAUGGCCUCGGCUGGCCAUCGGGAUUGCGGCAAUAAUUAUCAUCAAAGCCCUUGUCGGGAUAUCUGCAAACCACACCAAGAAAAGUGUCACGUAAAUCUGCCUGGAAACACCACCCACCCCUCAGCUCACAAAAUAACUUUCCACUUAGGUUGUCUACACCUAGCUGGGGAAAGAGGACGUUUUCUAUGUUUUGCCUUACGAGGACUGCUGAUCACUGACUAUUGAAUCUACUAAUUUAUAUAUCCCACUAAGGACAGAGUAUCAUCCCCUGGCUAAUAAGUUAGGUCUAUGUGGUACCUUUCCACUAGCUGAGGUUCCAAAUCGAGUCUCUUUCUCUUAGAACCCACUUAAGGGCAGAUUACAAAAACAUGACUUCAUGUAGAAUGCUCAUUAAGAAAACAGGUCCUCUUCUAGGGAAGGCUUAAAGUUCAAACUGAAAGUUCAGUUUCAAUAGCGCUGUUACUAAUGAUAACUCAGUUUUGGAAAUAGAGCCCUUCGAGGUCAUGCCCUCACCUUCACCAGAUCAUGAGACAAACUUCAUCACACUACUUUCUCCACACCCCACCUCCCUUCAAAUGAACAGAGUCCUGAAUUGGUGACUUGAUUUUAAUUGCUACCAUAUCCCUUCUGCUCUCACUUAAACGACAAGACAAGCAUUUAUUUGGAAAAUAAGCUGGAGUUUUAAUUUCAUUAAAAAUAACACCAAACAAAAAAGAAUAGAGAAAAAGAACAAAGAAAAAACACCUAACAGCAAUUUCCAAAGAAAGGUGGGGGACGGAAUUUCCUGUGUAAUUAUUUGUAUUUUUAUUCUUUAUAAUCAAAAUAAAUGAACUUCUUCCUUUUUUUUCCACCUUAAAAGUUUCAUGUAAAAUACAUGGGCAAAAGUAGACAUGAUUUUUUUUUUUUUUUUGGCGGAGAUGGGUAAUAAUUUAAGCUCAAAACCUAUUCCUGGGGAUAAAAGAUAGAUUAGUUGCCUGACUUCUCCAAAUUGGCUUUUUAUAUGGGCAAUUUCAAAACACACCAGGACAAAGCAACCUGAAUGGUUUGCUCUACUUUUUACUCCCUAUGACCACUACUUAUGUCAUGCUGUUAUGUGUGUGGCCUGCAGUACCUGAGUCUCUGAAGAUGCUGCUCCAGAAGGAGAUUUGCCUGCAAUUAGUAACAAUACCUCUAAUCACAGCUAAGACUUGUCAAAGUGGUCAUUACUGAAUUGGUCCUGUGGUUUGCUUUGGUUUUGUUUUGUUUCUGCUCUGAGAGAGAAAGAAGCUUCUUUUUGUGCUUCCACUCUAUACCCUGCUGAUGAUUUUGUGUUCAGUACCAUGCUGAUUUUAGAAACUCUGACCAGUUGGCUAUGUAGUCAGUGUUCUCAUGUACCUCAUCAUAAAUCUUUUUGCCCUUAGACUAUUUCCUCCAAAUAUAAUGGCCAGAAAUUCUGUCAGAAGAACUCCUGAACAUUCUGGGAGUUCUAAAUGUUAUGUUCAUGUCCUAUCGGGAAAACAUAAUAUAAAGAGAAUUUCCACAGCAGUGUGUCAUAGAGUGAAUAAUAGUUUGUAAAAGAAUCACUGAAAGCAUGAUUCAUUAAUAUUUUACCUUUCAGGCAAGAAUUUGUGCCGGUGUGGUGUCUGAUGAUCCCAGCGCUGACAAAUCUUGCCUGAUUCUGUAUGAUCCAUGAGACCUCGAUAACUCUCCCCAUUGCAGGUCAUGCAUUCAACUAAUAAAAUUAAAGUAUGGCAUGUUAAUUGUUUCUGACAGCAAAAUCAAAAACACCACUGUUGCAUUUAAAGAACAGCACCUGUUUAGUAAACAGAUUUUUAAAAAAUCCUACACAUCAUUCUAACUUUUUAUUAGGGCCUAAUGUCUAUAAAUAGUGACAUAAACUACUCCCUAUAGAACACAUCAUACAGUUUAAGUGGGAUUUUUGUACUUAGUGUCACACAGAUUUACUAUAGGGCCACGACGCUGUCUAUCUAUUUUUUCAAUAACUGUCUCAAAGGUAUCUAGAAAAUGGAAAUAAAAGACAGAUCCUUGGAAAUUUUUCCCGUGUUGGUCUAAAAUGCAAAGAUCUCAGUAUCUAUUUGUCAGCACAAUAGUGUUUCUCUCUCAAUUUGCCCUCCAAAUACAUACACAGGAAAUACAAAGUUUAAUUGAGUUUGUGUCAUACUUUUAUGGUUAAUGACAUAAUCAAGACCACAUAGAUUUAAGAGACUGGCUUCAUAUAGAAAUCUGGUGCAAUUCAAAGAAUACGGAUAUUUUUAAAAAAUAAAUCACAGCUCCUUUCUGUUAGCGAACAUCCAUGUUGAAUAAGCUGGGCAGGUUUACAUUCCUGUCUGGCUUAGGAUAGAAGAUGACCUGCUAUUGAACUCCAUGUUCCCACUCUUUUUAAAAUGUAUAAGCUAAUGUAAUUAGGUAGGCUCUUACUGAUGAUUUUGUGAGGUUAAUUCAUUGUUCUCUUCUGGCUGGCCUCUUAUGUCACACAGAAAACUGAAUCACAUCAAUUGCUGAAAGUGAGACUUCUCAAACAGACAGGUUGAUUUGUAGCACAGAAAGCAUCCUGUGGAAUAAAUCAUUGCUUGGCUUUCCUAUGAAUCAGGCAAACUUCCUUAAACACAUCAUUUGUAUCUUGCAAUUACUGAUCAUCUAACUUUAGCUGAAGUGGGAAGAGGCAUCAAUGUUUAGUUUUAUCCAACGGAAUCUAGCCUAAUGAGUAUUUGUAGUAAUUUGGGAUUAUAGUAUUAGAAUCAUCACUUUUGAAUCCUUGAUUCUUAUAAUCUAAUAGGGACAUUAACUAUUAACUUUCUGAAACAUGCAACAACUUGGCUUGAUCCAUCUGCUUUCCUUCAUUUAUAUUAAUACAUUAGCUAAGAGGCCAACUCGGCUUCCCUUCAUUUGAUACUGAGAUUUUCCAGACUACACCCAAUAAGCACCUGAACUGUAAAUGAGUGGAGUCCAUGAGCAUAUCAAUAAAGGUGCUCAGGUUGGCCAGGGUCAUAGCAGUGCUCAACAUAGGUGAUGCAAUGUUACAUUUCAGCUUUCCAUUUGAAUGCUUAACAGGUUCAUUUAGGUAUCUCUCUCUUUUUUUAAAGAACACAAAUUUUGAUACCGUCAAAGAAAAUGAUGCAGCAUUUAUCGUUAUUUGUUCCUUCGUGUUGGAUGAAAUGUACAAUAGAGUACUAGGGUCACACAUAAAAGAUAAGUAUUCAUAUGUACAAUUUCUACUCUUGUAUAGUACUCAGGAAAGAGAUUACAUCUAUUAUGCCUCCUUCAGCAAAUGCAGCUUGUGAUAGUAUAUUCCUUUCUAACGAGGGUGAAUAGAAUUAUUUUCUGGUAAUCACUACAUUGAGCAGUAUUAUAAAAAUUUUUCCUUGACUUACACAUUUUAAUGGUUUUAAGAAAAAAUAGCUACAUGAAUGAAACAGAUGGUUCCAUAAGAUGACCACUUUCCAUUAUGAGUGUGGCAGAUCAAUGCUUGUUCAAAUAUGAAUGUGUGCAAAAACCUCCUUGAGAUCCUGUUAAGAGGCAAGUUCUGAGUCAGUGGGUCUGGGCUGGGGCACUAAUAACAAGCUCCCAGGCAUUGCUGCUGUUGCUGGUACUUGGACCUCACUUUGCUCUGCAACUUUCUAGAUAACAGGAUCUAUUAUAAAAGUUCUGGCCAGGCACGGUGGCUCACGCCUGUAAUCCCAGCACUUUGGGAGGCCAAGAUGGGCGGAUCACGAGGUCAGGAGAUCGAGACCAUCCUGGCUAACACGGUGAAACCCCGUCUCUACUAAAAAUAUAAAAAAAUUAAUCAGGUGUGGUGGUGGGCACCUGUAGUCCCAGCUACUCGGGAGGCUGAUGCAGGAGAAUGGCGUGAACCCGGGAGAUGGAGCUUGCAGUGAGCCGAGAUGGCACCACUGCACUCCAGCCUGGGCGACAGAGCGAGACUCCGUCUCAAAAAAUAAAAAAAAGAAGUUCUAAGUAUUUGGCCGUAAUAGUUUUAUAAGAGAGACUAGAUUUUACUAGGAUCUUGAAUAGAUGAGAGUUGGAUAAAUUAUAAAGGGACAAAAUAACAUAAAAUCAGAAGCAUAAGUAUACUAUGUUGAUAGUAAAGGGAAGAGAGAGUUAUGAUUGCAGUUGUGGGCCUAAAAAUAAAUAAAUAAAAGUUAGCAAGAAUAAUGUUACAUUUUAGAAAGCAAUGAAAGUUAUUGUUGGGGUGGGAAUUAAACAUGCCAUGAUUGAAUUGAGAUACUUAAAUAUAUUACAGUUACAUAUUAUUUGAUUGUUUAUACCAUACUUUUAACAUAAAAGGUAUAGGCCAGGUGCAGUGGCUCAAGCCUGCAAUCCUAGCACUUUGGGAGGCCAAGGCAGGCAGAUUGCCUGAGGUCAGGAGUUUGAGACCACCUUGGGUCUGGUGGUGCGUGCCUGUAGUCCCAGCUACUUGGAAGGCUGAGGCAGGAGAAUUGCUUGAACCCAGGAGGUGGAGGCUGCACUGAGCCGAGAUGGUGCCACUGCACCACUCCAGCCUGGGCGACAGAGCAAGACUCUGUCUAAAAAACAAAAAACAAAAAACAAAAACAAACAAAUAAAUAUGAAAACAUGAAAAGUAUCAUCUGAUUCUUACAGUGAGGAAAACAAGUCUCACAAAAGUUUUAAGAGACUUACCUAAAACACAAAAUGUUAAACCUGAGCCAGGAACACAAAUCUUCUGACCCAUAGUCUUAGUAUUUUUUUUGCAUUAUCCCAAACUGCCUUUUUGUUUUAUAUAUUUUAACUUAUUUCCUACAUAUUCUAACUGGUUAUACUUUAUGAUAUACUGAUAGCAAUAACUUUAGAAAGUUGGUAUCCCUACCCUUUUCAACAUUGUCCUCAUUGCCCUCUGCUUUUUUGUUUACAACAGUUAACUUGCUCUCCUGUUGAAGUCUCAUCUAUUGGAGGAAUUGCAGGGAAAGUGCAUGGGAAUGUAACUAGAUUGGACACCUUAUCCAAAGUCAAUGGCUGAAAAGUUGGCUGUUUUACCACGGAAUCAAGCCAUCAAGUUAGUCAUAAGAAUUAUCUCAAGAAAGCCAAAUUUUUAACUCAUAUUCACUUUUCAAGCUUUGGGAAUUCUCAGAUUCUUCUAAUUUUUCUUAAAGUCAAGCAGUUCAGGUGAAACCAAGUCCAUGUAUUCAAGGAAACAGGUGAACAUAUAAACGAUGUAACAGUUUAUAUGUAGGAGUGCCCUUUGGCUCUGUCUAUUGCUGUCAGUACAUUAUUUACCUGCUCCAGCAAGUUCUCCUCUAAAACAAAACAAAACAAAACAAAACAAAACAAGCUAACUACUGCCCUAGAUAGAUCACAAAAACUCACAGAGUAAUGGUUUCUGUUCAUCGGUUCAAUAUUUGUUCUAAGUACAGUUCUGGACUGAAUAAUAGUAGAAUACUACAAAAACUGUAUAUGAAUUAGAAAACACAGAGGAUUAAUUUAACAGCUUUCUCAUCAUACUAACCAACCAAACUUUAAAAAUGUGUUUCAUUUUUCUCCGUCAUAAAACAGGAGUGAUAUGAGUAUACAGACUAAAAGAGUUAUUUUGAAAGUAUCUGAAUCUAUUUUUAAUUAGUGUUUGUUUUAUUCCAUUAAAGACAGUCUCAGAAAAAUCCAUACAGGUGAUUACUUCAACAAAACUGAAUGUUUAAAAUAUAAAUAGUCUCACAAAUUAACAUAUAUAAAUAAAAGUUUGUCAAAUAAAUUAUGAGUUGCCAUUUAAUCUUUGUAACUUGCCAUUUAAUCUUUGUUUUUAAAAGUCUUCACACAGAGUAUCGAAUUAUACACAUAAACUUAUGUCAGUAUUAUGUGGGAUUUUAAAUGUAUUGUAUUUUUUAAAAUAAUGAUUAUGGCUUAAUUAAAAUAUAUUUACUUGAUCAUUUGACAAUCAUUAGAAAUGACAUCUGUUCCAAUGACCAAUGAUUGUUUUAUUUUAAAUUUCAAGCAAACGCUAAAGCAAGAAAAUGGAUUUUGCAUACCUCAACUUUCUAAAACUUUUGAAUCAAGCACUAAUUAUUUUCUCUGUAUAACUCUAUAAGGUUCUUUCUUAAAACU